Molecule: ribosomal RNA, 251 nt
Filed under: uncultured bacterium
Lineage: Bacteria
Description: partial 16S ribosomal RNA
Rfam family: Bacterial small subunit ribosomal RNA
Source: RNAcentral
UACGUAGGGUGCAAGCGUUGUCCGGAAUUAUUGGGCGUAAAGAGCUCGUAGGCGGUUUGUUGCGUCGGCUGUGAAAUCCCGAGGCUCAACCUCGGGUCUGCAGUCGAUACGAGCAAACUAGAGUGUUGCAGGGGAGACUGGAAUUCCUGGUGUAGCGGUGAAAUGCGCAGAUAUCAGGAGGAACACCGGUGGCGAAGGCGGUUCUCUGGGCAUGUCCUGACGCUGAGGAGCGAAGUGUGGGAGCGAACAGG